AUUGAACGCUGGCGGCAGGCCUAACACAUGCAAGUCGAGCGGAUGAAGGGAGCUUGCUCCUGGAUUCAGCGGCGGACGGGUGAGUAAUGCCUAGGAAUCUGCCUGGUAGUGGGGAUUACGAUCCGGAAGGGGCGCCAAAACCCCUACCGGCCUUGAGGGGGAACUGGGGGGAUCUUGGGACAUACCCCUUCCUGCUGACCCUAGUCCGGAUUAGCUAGUUGGUGGGGUAAAGGCCUACCAAGGCGACGAACCGUAACUGGUCUGAGAGGAUGAUCAGUCACACUGGAACUGAGACACGGUCCAGACUCCUACGGGAGGCAGCAGUGGGGAAUAUUGGACAAUGGGCGAAAGCCUGAUCCAGCCAUGCCGCGUGUGUGAAGAAGGUCUUCGGAUUGUAAAGCACUUUAAGUUGGGAGGAAGGGCAGUAAGUUAAUACCUUGCUGUUUUGACGUUACCAACAGAAUAAGCACCGGCUAACUUCGUG
RNAcentral lists this ribosomal RNA (484 nucleotides) under uncultured bacterium. Its description in RNAcentral is "partial 16S ribosomal RNA". It matches the Rfam family "Bacterial small subunit ribosomal RNA", at positions 30 to 507 of the family's 1533-position model. The record is from RNAcentral.